This is a long non-coding RNA of Acinonyx jubatus (cheetah), 19314 nucleotides long. RefSeq lists it as uncharacterized. The record is from RefSeq and is a predicted model, not a curated record. The transcript has 7 exons. Lineage: Eukaryota; Metazoa; Chordata; Mammalia; Carnivora; Felidae.
CUUUAAAUAGGGAAAAAUAACCCAACGUUGGGUCAGUUAGCUGCAAUGAGAUAAACGCCUCCUCCAUCUGACUACUCUCCUUUUUCCUGCUGUCUCCAAUUUCAUGUGCUUUAUAUCUGCUCCCUUAACCUAAAGCUACCAUCAACACCACUACUACAAAACAGUAAGAAUGAACAUGAGCAUGUGCCCCUCUAGGCUUUCUGCCUAUAGAAAUAGGUACUAUUAUCAUUCCCGUUUUACAGAUGAGGAAAUAGCUUUAGCGAAUGUUGAGUAAAUGGCCCACCGUCACACACUAGUAAGAGUGGAAGAGCAGGGUCCAAACCCAGGGCGGUGCAAAGUUCACAUCUUUGAGGAAGUCUCAAAUGUUGACCAUUUGCUGACCUUCCCUGUAAUUAAACUGUUCAUUGAAGCGUGACUCCUCCCAUGCUCAUCUGCAUUUCCAUAAGGACUUGAUUAGAAUGUAAACACCAUCAGGGUAGAAAUUUGCUCUCUUUUGGUGAUAGCUGCAUCCCUGUGCUCAGCAGGCGGUAGACGGUCCAUGAUCAAAGUUGGUUUUAUGGGUCUUCCAGCAGGGCAGUGGCACAGGGCCCCCACUCGGAAGGGCUCUACACUUGCUUGGUGUUAUUGUUCUGUAGUCACCAUCUUGAAAUUCUUAGUGACUGUAUCUUUGAAUCUGUGUUUUGUGGAUGAAGUCUGAUGGAACAGUGGAGCAUGGGCGGGGCACUUUGAGGCUCGGCUCAGAUGUGGUCCCUCUUCCCACCACCUCCACACCGGCCGCCUCUCUGGGUUCUUGGCUGCACACUCCCCACCUGUAGUGCUCUGGGUGACAAGUAAGGUAGGUGGUCGGGGUAGGCAGACGGUGACUCUGGCCGAGGCAUGGAUGCCAAAAGGCUGCUGCUCGGUGCCUGUGCCCUGCAUCAUCUACUGGAUGGGCAUGGCAGCAGCCACCCCGCCCUGGACGGGCAGCUCCACAAAUGCAUUCAGUGGGUGACUCCACCAUGGCAAGCCUCUCACCACACCUGAUCCAGGAACCAAGUGCAUCCUGGUGUGGAGGCUGCAGUGCCUUUGGAAGACCUGCCUGUCCCCAGCCAGGGCCCAGCACAUCAGACGCAGCGCUACAUAGUGAGUCAUGGAAUGGGGCCCCAGGUUCCCGCAGAGAUCAGCAUUUCCCCAGGCGCAUCCGGUACCCAAGGGAGCAUGCCAUUAAAUGACAAAAUUAGAUCAGAUUAGUUUAAAUUAAAUUAACAACAUUAAAUAUACACUGUGAGAAAUAAGCCCACUGACCCAAUCAAAGAAGGGACGCAUAGACCCGCGGAGCACAGUGAAGUGAGACUUUCAUCAACGUCCUUGCAAGAGCGGGUGUCUGAUGCACAGGCACACUCAGGGCAGUUACAGCAGGCAAUUUAUCUCUUAGUGUGCAAGCCCCUCCCAUGGCUCCUCAUUGGCUGAGUACGACAGAGGUUACAGCCUUACCCGGAAGUCGCCUAUGCCUACGUAAGGCACAAAGUAGUCUGAUUGGAACAAAUGUACAUUACUUGAGGUGACACAGAGACUCCAGUUCUUUGGUGCGUGCUCGUUGCAAAGCCCGCAAAAAAUAAGCCCACGAAAUGGAGAAGGGGGAAAAAGAACCAGGAAGUGAAGUGUCUAAGUGUUUGGGACUCCACUGUUGGGGGCUGGGGUGUUUGUACGUAUUUCCAACAGGUUGUAAACCUAUUGUUAACUAGACAGCACAGGUUUUAUUUGGUAUUUCUGAAAAUGAGUCAUCUCACUGACUUCUCACACACAUUAAAUAAAACACGAUGACAUUUCAAGAGAGAAACCACAAAAGAAAAGGUUUAAUAUUUUAGUGUUUUUUAAUCGCAUUUUUUUCAUGCGUUUUGGAUGGGGGGGCCACACGUUUUCAUUUUGCAAAGGGCCUCACAAAUUAUGUAGCUGAUCUUGUCAAGAGUUAUGUAUUAUAUAUUAAUAAUUUGGACUCUUGGAAAUUAGAACUUUUAGGUCUCAAAGGAAUAAAGCAUGAAGAUCAAGAAACCGUGGCAUCUUGGACUGGAAGUUUUUCUUUCAGAUGAUAUUCCUAAUAUCAUGGAUGUUGGGGACAAUGGAUAAGACAAUAUGGAUAUUGGGGACAAUGGGUAAGAAAAUAGUAUAUACCCAAGAACUUCUUGGCAAUCAGAGCUAGCAUAGGCCAUCUACAGACACCUAAGUGAAAUCUCCCACAUGAUAACUGUGGCUUCCAUAGGCAAAUUAACCAGUAGACAUUUAUUAUUUAGCCAGUAAGGUCUUUGGGAGUCAAUGUGAUUGCUUUUUGGUAUGGUCGUGCCAUUUCCUAGUUGAGACCCAUUUCCCGUGACGCCCUAUUGUCUCACAUUUGACUGCUUUUCAAAUAUUCUCACGCUUGCACGUGUGAAGCCUGGCCCCUGGAACAUUUGUGUGUUUUACUCCUUUUUCCAGUAUCACAUGUGGGAAGAUCUGUCACACUUCCUUUUAGGGCUGCAAUUCUAUGAAUCUGUUACCAAAGAGAGUUCGCAAACACCAUUAUAUAUCUGAGGGAUGUAAUUAUUUAUUGUGGGGUGUGAUAUUUUUAUAUUUCCGUCUUCGCUACUGGACUAUGCACUUUAUGUAAGGACGCAUGCAUUAUUCAUGGUAGUCUAACUCCUGAAACAAGCCUCAACUCUCACAGUGGCUUAAAAUAAUAAGGGUAGGUUUUUUCGCACUCAUGUCUGGUCCAGUGGGAGUUAGUCAGGGCUGAUUUACUCCCCACAGUCAUUUAAGGUCUCAGGUUCUUCCAUCCUGUGAUCUCCUCAUCCCCUCCGUCCUCCAAAUCUUCUACUAGUUUAUCAGCAUUUGGCUGACAGACAAGGAAAAAUAGAGCCCGUUGGGGGAUUGUGAGAGAGGUUUUUAGGGGUCAGGCCUGGAAGUGACGCACAUCACUUCCACCCACAUUCUACUGGCUUACACCAUCACCUGACUCUACUUAACUGCAGGGAAGGUUGCCAGGCCUUUUCCUGGUAGUGAAGUCCUUUCUGAAAUUCAGAUAGGCAUGGGAUUUAAAUAUUUAAAUACAGGGAAUGGUCAGCGAAUGGUCUGUUUUUGAGCCUGUCAUCUACAUUUGAACUUAGCCUACCCUAAAGUUAAAUCCCACCCUGCAACUUUACUAGCUGUAUAAUCAAGGCAACUUACUUAUUUAAUCUUCUCUUAGCCUGUUUGCAUCUAGUUUUGUGCCUAGAAGAGAAAGAAGUAAACUUAACUGGGAUUGUUUUUUGUGGUUAUGGUGAAGACUGUGUGGUAUUUUCUUUAUGUAUGUGAUGACUGGCACCUCUGGAAGUAUUCAAAACAUAUUUUCCAAAUGAAGAAAUAAAUGAAGUGGGUUCGCUAGGAUGGGGUGGGUUCUGGGAGCAAAAGGAAAAUUCUGAUCUGGGUGGAUUUAAAAUGAGAGGAGGAGUGUUAUUUAGAAAAAAAAAGAAUUAUUCCAGGAGAUGACUGGAAUUAUUGAUUUGUGUUUGUCCUCUGAUCCAGUGACUAAGUGGGUAAUGUCGUAUUCAAACUCAACUUUCUCUACCCCCAUUUAUUUUUCUUCUUCUAGUGAAUUGUUUCUUCCCUUAUUAGACUCCUUUCUUCUUAUAUUUGUCCAUUCUCCAAAGAAUGUGCCAAAGGUUUUCCAAAUUCUGAUCCUGCUCUUUCCAGGGUGUCAUCAGUUGCCUUAAAAACACUCUGCAAGACAUUAGUGUCUCAGCAGAGCAUAAUAAACUUCAGCUUGGCUUUAGGACAAAAGCAGUGCCACACAAUGACGCAUCUUCCAUAAAAUAAGCUGUCCCCUAAACAGGGAGAAUAUAAAUGCAGCACACAUUAUCGUAGUAGCAGAUAUUCAUCUCCACCCACAAACUCAAAUGUGCCAGAAUUAUACCAUUGGCAUUUUCUCAUUUCCUUUAAAUCAACUUCAUUUUUUUUUUCUCGAAGCUCCCAUCCCACCUGUCUGGGGCAGAAUUUCAGUUUAGACAUUAUUAGAGCCUGAAUCUGUCCAGAAUCUGGGUUGGAGCCCAGAACCAGGAGAAGGUCUUCUAAUCUCUCGUUUGUCCCAGUUCAUCCUGAGUUCCUGUGUUGCCCAAACCAAAGUCCAGAUCUCCUUGACUUCCCUGACAUGUAUGCGCUCAGUGCCUCAGUGGUCCAGCAUCCCAGACACUAUGUGGCCAUCCUGUGUGAGGCUUUUCCUACGUGGAGGUAUUCAGGAAGUCAAGAUUAGAAGUUAAUGGUGGAUAAGAAUACAAUCAAUGAUUAUUAGUAAAGUUUGGUGUCACUCCCUUGAUUACUGCUAAGGAACUGUCAGUUUUACACAGAUUGCUUUGGCAACAUCAGUGCAAAUGUCAACAUAGUGACAAUCUAGGGGCAGACCUCAGUGAUAUUAAUGUUGCUAAGGGAUACUUUUAAGGAAACAAAUUCCAUGACACCUAAGAAUCUAAGUUCACACCAAUGAUGAGGAGUCUGAAAAUAAGCUAUAUGAUGUUAAAGCAGAGAAACCCAAAGUUGAUUAGGACGGGAUAAGCUCAAGCCCAACAAACAACAACAAACCUUAAGAACCUUUAACCCAACAUCUAAACCUGGAUUCAAUUCUCCCACUUGCUUUUCUGCUCUAUUUUUUAUCCAUGUGUCGUAAGAACUAUAAUUAUGUAGUUAUAUCAUAUUAUUGUCACCUAAUCUAAUUAGAGUGGUCAAUCUAAACAUGAAAGUAGCAGGAAUAGACUCCUUAAGUUAAGACAUGACUUUCUUUGUGCACAAAACACAUAUGGCCAUUCCACAAAGAAUUAAGGUUGAAUUUCUUGAGGAUGCUGUACUUUAAUAGUUACCAAAUAUUGUGUAAAAGUCCCACUAAGAAAUUAGAUUUUACACCCUGGGUCGCUGGGAAAUAGGAAUAAUAACAACAAUACUUUCUGUGUGUAGCAAAGCAACUAUAUGUCAGCCAGUUAGAUUAUCAUCCCAGCUCAGAAUAUUAGGGAUAGAAUAGCUUAUUAUUAAUCCCAUUAUGCAGAAGGGAACACUGAGAAAUUAUGUGAUUUGCCCAUGGUCAUAUAUUAUUAGGUGGAAGAAAUGGGACCAUAACUCAGGCUAUUGUCUAAAAAGCCUUUAAUCCUUUCUGUUCUCUGUUUAGUACAUUUUGAUUCUGUUAAAUUAUAUUGUUUUUAUUUUCCCAUUAGCUCAAGGACAACAUCUUAGUAGAACAUCUGGAUUUAAUAUUCUUUCCACAAACUCUUCAGAGUCUAUUCAUUUGAAUGAAGGGCUUUUGUCAACAGUUAACCCUUCAGACUGCCUGUCAGACAAACAAAAAAGCAAGACCAACUGUACAGAUUUAAAAUACAUUUUAUAGUAGUCAGGGAAUUGAAUUUACUUUCUAAUUCUGUGGAAUGAAUUAUUUAUAGUCAAGAUAGACUGCUAGAUCAAACUUAUCUGUCUUUAAGCACCAGACAUUUCCAGAAUCCAGAAGAAGGGGUCAGUCACUGAGAUGGUUGGUUUAUGUCGUAAUCCUGACCAGGCAUCGUUAGAAUGGAGAAGAUUUAGGAAGUCUGGGAUUCCAACAUAUUUGCAGGACCAGGCAAAGACCUGGAGUCUGAGCAUAGUAAGUAGGCCAAGGGAAUAUCAUCCUUCUGAUGAGAGGGAGGGCAGAGGACAACACAGGAAUUCUAAGAUAGGUCUACAAUACGGGCCCUGCUCACAGGGGAUGGGACAGCAAGAUGUGUGGCACAAUAGGAAAAGGGCUCAAGACAGAGAUCUUGGCUUGAAGUUACAUUCUAUUAUACGACAUAGCCAGUAGGUGUUUGAACCAAAAUUACAAUGUAGGCAAUCCAGCUCCAGAGUCCCGAGGCACUUAAGGUGUCUUUGGUAAGGACAUUUAGAGAAGCACCGAUUGAGUCCUACAGGGGAACAGAAGGAGGGAGAGAGGCAGACAGAUACCACUCUGACCAAAGGGAAUAAGGAAAGCUUCAGAGAAUAAGGAAGGCUUCACAGAGAGGUGCAUUUGAACAGGCUUUGAUAUUGGGGAAAAUUCUGAUAGCCAGGAAAUAGAAUGUGAGUGAUGGAAAAACCCACCUAAGAUGGCUUAGGCAGAACAAAAGUGUUCUGACGUACGUGUCUGAAAAAUCUAGUCAUAGUUCUGGCUUUCAGCUCAGCUUGAUCAGGGCUCCUGUUGGCAUUGUAGGGGAGGAAAAGAAAAUUUUUCUCUGUACUUUCCUACCUCCUAUGUUCUCUGGCUGGAGCCCUACAAAUUAGGCUGACAAAAAGCAGAUUAACAAGAAAAAAAACAAAAACAAAAACCAAUUAACAUGUGCAGCAUGCAUGUACAUAGGAGAAACUCCGUGACAAGUAACUCAAAGUGGUGGUUAGAACUUGGGGCUUAUAUAGCAUCUUAACAAAGAAGAAUAAAUGUGUACAGAAGUGAUAAGAGAAAGGAAAGCGUUUUAGGCUUCGAGGGCAGCCAACGGUGGGAAGGUAAAUCUAUGGGGGAAAUUAACAGAGGAAGAUUUGUUCGUGCUGGUUCAUCUUGGUGCCAACUUCCCAUCUACCUCAUUGCCAUAAAACUUCCCCAGGAGAGGACAGUCCUCAUUUCUCAGAAGUUUCUGCUUUUAGUCCGAUGAUGGGCGUUCCAAGAAGGCUUCUUUCUGCAUCUGUUGAUUCUCAUUUUCCUCCAACUCAAAAUGAUCCCUUUACCAAAGUGACAUAUUUCGGGAUGCAGUGUUUGGAUUUCCUGCGGCACCUUCAGGACCUGGUUUCUCUAAGCUCUGUCUCCAGGACUGUAUUUGUAACUACUGGCCCGGACUUUUUUCUGUGUGAAGGAGCUUACGUUUGAUCCUGAGCAGAGACGUUUUUGUGUGGAGAUAAUACAUCAGUUGCCUGUAUGCUGGCAUGUCUGUAUUUAGGCGUCUGAAUUUCCCCUCAUACUGGCUCUAGCAUCAUGCUACUUUAGCCUAUACGACUGUGUGGGUACAUGGGGACUGAAUCUGUAUGACCAGGAAUCAGUCUACAAAUGGCUCACCAAUGGAGAAUGACUUCAGAAUUCCUAUCCCCCAAGAGGAAGCAUAUUUACAGCCAUUCAGUGGGAAACCAAAGGACAUGUGGCUGAAUUGUGGAGGUCUUCGAGUAGGAAGGCAGACCAAGUAAUCAACACUUGGGAUAAAUUUGCAGUUAAAGCAAAAGAGCCAAUUGUUUGAGAUUUGAGUUUCAGGGGUUGAAGUUAAGCUUUGUGAAUUUAGAUUUGUUGAGUUAAAACCAAACAAAAUAAAACAAAACAACCUGUUUUGUAUGGCCAGAUUCUACUAGUUUCUCUGUGCUCAUUUUGCACACAAUGAUUACCUAAUAAAAGCCGAUUAGUCCACCCUAAAGAGUCUUGAUGGCCCUAAUUGUUCUCCAGCAGCAGAGCAGUUUCUGUCUCAUUUACAGAGAGGAGCACCAAUCUACCAAAAUGUUCUCAUUCCACAAACAAGGAGCCACUUAAAUGCCCAAGGACUCUACCAAGUGCCAAUGCAAACCAAGGAGGAAGAAAUGACUGGUCACUAUGGAACCACAGUGACGAGUGACUUGGAGGCUUCCUUCAGAAUUUCAGCACUUGCUUCCCUUCUUCCUAUAAUAGAAGUCUGCCAUCUGACACUCGAUGAUGAACUCCUUUUAACAAUAACCAGAGUCCAGUGCCCAGCUCCUGAGCAGUUUUCUCCCUCAUCUAAUGGUUAGAAUUGGAAUUUAUUUGUCAUCCUGGCUGUUUCAGGAUCUCUGCCACUGCUGUGUCCACAGAGUUCCAGCGAGGUUGAUGGCUGAGGGGGCUGAUUCGAGACUCGUGAAACCCGGAUUUCCAGAACUGAUUCCCAGUUCGACCACUUACCGUCUCUGUAAACGUGGCAAGUACUGUACUUCUCCAAACCUCAGUUUACCCAAAUAUAAAAUGGACAUCACCAGAGUACCCAAUUUAUGGAGUAUCGUGUGAGAGUUAUUAAACACUACGAUGUGGAUAAUAAUAUGCCACCCAAAAUACGGCAUUUUGGCAGAAGGGUUAUUUUGAACUAAAGGAAGUGAGAAACCAUAGACGCAGAACAAAGCUUUCUACCUUCGCCCUGCCUUGCCUCAAAGCACAGCGUGAAUUUCCCUUUGCGCUGGCCUCCCCCCUGCUCCUCGCUCUAAUACCAGGAAGGGCAGAAUGACAAUCAUCGGAGACAACUCAAGACUCUUAUCAACCUAGAGAUGGCACUGAGAGGAAUCUGCAUUUUAAACCUGCCUCAAAUGAACAACCCUUAUCUUCCCUUAGUUUCCCACAUAUAUUUAACUUCCCACAAGCUCAGAAGCUCAGAUUCUUUUUCUUUUGUCGCAUCCCGUCUCCACAUUUAUCACUCAUCGUUAAAAUAGUACGUAAGCCUUCCGGCCUCUUUGGACUUUUCACUUCAUUCCUGUCAGACUUGCCAUAGUCAUAUGAAAUAAACCUUUUUCUCCUGCCAAUCUGCCUCUUAUCGCUCUAUUUUUCAGGGCCUCUGCCCCUCAACUUAAGAGGGUAAAUGAAAAACUGUUUUAUUUUCUGGCCCCAACAAAUAUCACAGAUUCAAAAGCCUUGCUUAUAUCCUAGCACACCACACGCCCAACUAAUGCUGGUGUUUUCUUCAGACUCAAGAAAUGCAAAACAGGGGCGCCUGGGUGGCUCAGUCGGUUAAGUGUCCGACUUCGGCUCAGGUCAUGAUCUCACGGUCCGUGAGUUUGAGCCCCGCGUCGGGCUCUGUGCUGACAGCUCAGAGCCUGGAGCCUGUUUCCGAUUCUGUGUCUCCCUCUCUCUCUGACCCUUUCCUGUUCAUGCUCUGUCUCUCUCUGUCUCAAAAAUAAAUAAACGUUAAAAAAAAUUAAAAAAAAAAAAAGAAGAAAUGCAAAACAUUGGACGUUACAAACAUUCUCGAUUCAUUUCUGGCAAACUCCGCUUCUUCCUAAAGGUGGUUCCCAGUGAGCCUCAACAGCCUCUGAAGCCACUUAUUAUUAUCCUUUUCACAACGUUAUUCAUAUUUAACACUUACUGGGAGCUCACUGUGUGCCAAGCCACCAAUGCGAGCUAAGCACUAUUACUAUCCCUGUUUUCCAGAUGCGGAAUCCAAGGCUCCAGGAUGCAAAAUAAUGGUUACAUGGCCUGAGUGGCUGAUUAUUGUGUGACGCUACCUCCCUCAGGAUGAGGUUGAGGAUGGAGAGUAGAAGAAAGGAGGUGAAAGAUAAGGAUUCUUAGAAAUGAUCUCUUGCUAAACAGUGCCUUGCAUGUGGCCGAUACUUAGAUACUUGCUGAAUGAAUGGACGAUUGACCAGAUAUAAAAUUGAGUGAGCAGCCAAACAGGCCAGUCCUCCUGACCACAGCUCUUCAGCCGUUUCGAUAUUAGCAGAAAGGGCCAACUCCUCCACCCACCCAGAACUUUAUAAAUAUUGAUUUCCCAUCCAUUUACCUUUAAGGCAUCUUCUCUCGGGUAAUCACAUCACAUUGCUCUGUCUGUCACAUUGUGUUUUACAUUUUUCUCUUCUCUUCCUCCUCCCCCUGUAUAAUCUAGAGGACAGACCAGCUGGCUACGUAGAUUAAAAUCCUUUUCUGCCCCUCUCUUAGCGCAGCUCCGUGGCUUGGUUCUAUUAGCCAGACCGAAUGGAGUGUUUUUGAAACAGCAGUGAAAUCUCUUGGAACAAAAUGAGAUCGCUCCUGCAACCAUUCUGCCCCAAAGCAUAUUUAUAAGCAAUGGCAAGGAAAGGAGAAGGAGGAAGACACAGCCAUAAGGGGCUUGCUGGCAAAACACGGGUUAUACGCCAGGUGCCUUGCCUGAAACUUGAAGACUGGGGCGAGAUUGCUCCAAACAAAAGUAGCGAAGUUCAGAGCCAGAGAAUUCUCUGGACACAAAGGCUUUGCAAUAGAGAACUGUAUAAUGCGGCCGACAGGUCAGCUGCAAACCGAUGCCCCUGCCCCGCAGGCCAGGGUAACUAGAUUCCUUACCGUCCUUGGGGACAGAGAUGCCCACAGCACUAACUUCAGCCAGGAAACAGAAACCAGCAAGCUGCAAGGGUCGGGAGCACCGUCUCCUUGAGAGAUUAGCCAAGCACCAGUUGGUUUGCAUAAGGCAUGGAGAGUUGCCUGGGAGGACUUUGUCCUCAAGAUCCUUCUGCAUCCAAGAGCACAGGAGCUAAGAUCAUCCCCUGAUCCAACUGGCAUGAGUUCAAUCAAGGCCGACUCGUCGCAAGAGGAGGCUGCCAAAACAGAGCUGCCUUAGCCCAGGGUCCACGGAGGACAAGCACUGGCAUCAGCAGACCCGGCACCUCUGGUGGCCGUGUUGGCAGACAAAGCCCUCAACCCCUCUGCCAAGGCACCGACACUGAUGGACAGUAACAGCAGUAGCUUCAGCAGCUCCUUGUGGCAUCUUUGAACAAAGACCAUAUGAGGACACAGCAAGGAGACAAUUUUCUGCACCUCCAAGACAGAAGCCCCAGCAGACACUGAGCCUGCAGGACUUCCAGACCCCAGCACUGUGAGAAAUAAGCCACCCGGUCUUAAGUUCUGGAAAGCAGCCACCUUGAAUUAAGACAUGUCAUAUAGUGGAAAGGGAUGAAAUUUAGCACCAGAAAACCUGUGUCAACUCUUGUCCUUGCUUACCCUCUUUGUGUCUCAGUUUCCUUAUCUAUAGAAUGGGGAACUAGAAGUCCCUUCACUCCCCAUAUCACAAGGUCAUGGUGAGAAUCCAGAGAGAUGAGGUUUGUAAACUGCCAACAGAAUUGCUCUUCUGUUGGAGGUCUGUAAUGAUGUUUUGCUAGGAAUCUGCCACUAAAAUUGAAAUCCAAAAAUUGCUUAGGCAAAAGAAGUAAAAAUAUGGGAAAUGGGAAAAGAGGUAGGUUAAGAGCUCUACUUUUUUUUUUUUUUUUAAGUGCUGGAGGGUUGAACUCAUGCAAGCAAACUGUUUUAAGUGAAUUUUUAUGGUUUGGUUGUCUAAAAAACAAUCUGACAUAGCUUUCAAAAUCUUGUUUAUUAGAACUCAAAAUUCUUGUAAUUCUACUUGUUUAUGUUAUGUGAUUAUUUUAUAUUUUAUAGUGUUUAUAUCUUAUAUUAUAUGGCAUUUUCUAUGACACUGAUAUACAGAAUCUGACAAAUUGGCAAAUAAUUAGUUAUAUGAAAAUAUAUACUGGAUAUGAAAUACAGUAACUAAGAUAUAAAUGACCUGAGGUUAAAAAUGGUACCUGUUUUUCAGGAUUGAACUUAUCCUAUGUUAGCACAAAUGGCACCUGGUGGCAGUAGGUGAUACUUAAGCCCAGCUCUAAUGGACUUAUUUUCUGACUUUUUAGAAAUAUAUAUAUUUUUUUCUUUUAGAGCAGAUUUAGAUUUAUAGAAAAAUAGUGAAGCUAGGACACAGAGUUCCUAUAAACUCCAUACCUAGUUCCCUCUAUUGUUAAUGUCUGUCACAACAAAUGAACCAACAUGGAUACAUUAUUAUUAACUAGAGUCCAUACUUUAUUCAAAAGUCCUUAGUUUUCAUCUGUUGCUCCUUUUUGGUUCCAGGGUUCCAUCCAGGACUCCACGGUGCAUUCAGCUGUCAUGUUUCUUUUAAGCCCCUCUUGGCUUUGAUGGUUUCCCAGACUUUCCUUGUUUUUGAUAACCUUGAUGAUUUUAAGGAGUAUUCGUCAGGUAUUUUGCAGAAUAGCACUCUGUUUGGUUUGUCUGAUGUUUUGCUCAUCGUUGGACUGAGGUUAUGAGCUUUGGGGAGGAAGAUUUAUAGACACUACUUAAAUUUGGGGAUAUUCCAGUAGAGAGUCAGACAGUUCUCUGGCACAAGGAAAAAUCUUUUUGGCCUGAAGCAGCAUGGUCCACGGUGGAUAUCUCACAAACUGGGAAAGUGCUGAAAAUACAAAGAGAAUCUUCCAGCAAAGUUUAGUAGGCUUCACUAAUCCUAGGAUGCCACAGAUUGCCACAGGUCUCUUCAUUAUGUUAAAUCCUUUCUUUCUGAGGGUUUUCAACACAGUCUCCUGUUGUAUGCUUUUUCUGUUUUGUUUUUUGUUUUGUUUUGUUUUGUUGGGGGGAAAGACUUUCAGUUUUGUAAUAGAAUUUAACUUGAAAACAGUGUUUAUUUGAGAGAAAUCCUCUUAUAGGCAAUGUCAGUGAACUACCUUAGAUAUCUGAAACUCCAUGUUAUCCCAAACAUAAAUGCAUGAAUGAGAACAUGGGGUCUAUGUGCUGGAAAGAACUCUGUAACCCUGCUUCUCACAAACAUUCCUUCCAGUGGAAGGGUCAAAUUAAUGAAGUCUCUCCCACACCACGAACCUGGGACAUGAUUUAAAAAUGGAAUGGAAAAUACAGUCUCUAGACGCAGGUCAUACCGGGACAGGCUGAUAGUAUACAACCCAGGACAACCAAGUCUGAAUUUGAAUCCAAGAAAUUGCAGGGCUCCUGAAAUACUCCUCCCAAGAAUUAACUACUCUAUUUAAUUUUCUACAAGGGCUAUGCUGUUAGUAAAAGGUAAAACAAUUUUCCAAAUAUAGAAAAAAAUAUAAACAUUAUGUAACACACAUGCAUAUGCUCUGUCUGUAGCUUGGUUUUUAUAGUCGACAAACAUGCCUUGAUGUAUGUGUGAGUGUUUUGUGACUCAAUCUCCUUAUAAUCCCACUGUAAUCAUUGUAAUGAUUCUGUUCUGUGCAGUUGAAACAAUAAUAGCUUAUACUUAUUCAUAGCCUAUCUGUGCUUUACAUAUUUUAUCUCAUUUAAUCCUAUCUAGAUACUCAUUGUCCUCUUCUAUAAAGAAGGAAAUCAAGACUUAGAGACGUUAAGUAUCCUGUCUAAGGGUACACAGAGAAAAGUCAGGAUUUGAAUUCAAGGCAAGGGCUGUUUGGAUCUGAAGUCUCAGGUCCUACUGGGCUAAACUACCUCUGCGUCACUGAGUUUAUUUCAAAAUGCCUUCUGUGAGAGCAAGGACCGUAUCUCUUCUUAAUAGAUGGGGUCUCACAAUUCCAUUCAUAUGGCACAGGUGUAGUAAUAUUUGAAAACAAGGAAGAGGAGGAUGUAUUAUUACUACUGAUUAUCACUGUCAAGGUAAAAAAAAAACAACACAACUCUUAUCUCCUAAUUGACUCCCAGGCCCAUAGGAAGAUAAGAGAAGCCCAGCCACUCAGCAGCCUUGUCACCCAGAACUAGAGCUACAGUGGCUCAAAUAUCCAUGUCCUAAAAUACAGAAAAUUUGAGGUACAGGAAGGCCAACAGAUCAGGAGAUGAUUGCCAUUGAGAAGAUAGUUUGUGAUAGUUCCCAAGAGAAGGGGACAUGCCACAUGUUGGGGGCCACACUGGGAAGCACCAGGGUCAGUCAGGAGGCAGAGGAAGUGGGGGCGAACUGUGGGCAAGAGCCUUUGUUUUGGUUUCUAUGGGAAGGAAGAAGCGAGGCAGGGUGGACAGUCUGGGGACUGGCUCAUGUGAAUAACUUCAGCAGGCUCUGGGGCUGUGCCUAGCUGUCUGGUACCUAGCCCUGGCAUGGUUAGGGCAGGUGGAGUGUGAGAGCCCAAUAAAGGAGGUGGGUUGCAGUGUGGACUCUGGACUGUUUGGCUUGUAUUUGAAAAGCACUCACGGACAAGUUGUUUACUAUUUCUAGGAAUUGGCUAACCUUAGGAGGUAGAGUACCCUUAAGGUCAGUAAGACCCCCAAAUGUCAAAAUGUUUGAAUACAGAAAAUAAAAAACAUGGUUGAUAGACUCCAGCUAAGAGGCUUUCUGGCCAUUCUAAAUUGGGAAAGGCAUAUGAAUGUACCCAUAAGCCAGGCAGAAGUACCCAAGAGCUAAUUUAGCUGAAAACAAUAGAGAUGGGUCAUAAUGCCGUCAUAUGUAGAGGGAGAAGAAAACAAAACCAAUGAAAACUGGAAAAUAACCUGGGCCUAGAUUAUCUGGGUUACCUUAAAAAACUUGUCACAAGUUAGUGCUUCAUAAGAGAGCACACAAAACUUAGUGUCCAUCAGGCAUUAGGCAUUAGAGGGUAGAAUUGCGACUAUUUCUCUUAUCCAAAUCAUUAACAAGCAACAUUCUGCACUCUAGUAUAUGUCGUUUUUCUCUCUCUCUCCCUCCCUCCCUUCCACCUUCCUUCCCUUCUUCUCCCUCUCUUCCAUAAACACAUAGCAAUAGUUUGCCUAAAUGUGAGCUCAUCUGUGAGACACUACCCAUCCGUCCCCCUAACACACACCAUAUCACACACUGUUAAGAGUCUGUGUUUAGUGGGCCCACGUUGGCAGAAACGGGCCUUUUUAUUUUUCUCGAAAGCUACAGUAAGAAAUACAUAACACAAAGUAGACUCUGACCUGUGUCUUUGGCCUCACAGAUUCCUUAAUACCAGAAGCAGUAUUUUCAAGCCCAACAGUGCUGUUUACUCCAGGAAGAGUUUUCUUCAUAAUCACGGGAAAAUCAAAAACCACACUAUCUCAAGUUGCGGCAAACACUUUAUUCUCCUCAUUAACGUCUCAAAACUGUCAGAAGCCAAAGCUUGAAAAAGCCCUAUGGCAAUAAAUGUGAAUGUUUUACAAAGAGAAGAAAGAGAUUGCAAGAAGUUAUGUUUCUGUUCGCCGUAUUUUUGAGUAUUUUUCCUUGGCGAAGUCCUCAACCAAAUUCGAAUACAUCAGACACAGUGCCGAUAGAAGUAAAAGAAGUAAUCUGUAAAGAAUAUCCCAGCAAAAUAAGGGUCCGUUGAACAGUCAGCUAAAUCCUGUCAGAACAGAAGAAAAAAGAAGAAUGACUAAUGUAAAAAUGAGUUAAAGUAAUUGACUGACUGAAUUGAAUUGAUCGAUGGAUUGAUUUAAUGGUCUGUUUCUUUCUCACCGGAAAAGAAAAAGAAAAAGGGGGAAAAAAAAGAAAGAAAGCUUACCGGUGCAGCUACACGGAAGUGGUAUGUGCUAUCAAAGAAUGGGGCUACAGGGAGGCUCCAAAUGUGCUGAUAGCCCUAAAUAAUGAAUGAAAGGGAGAUCCAUUCCAUAACCACAUUUUACUCUCAGUUGGAAAGACUGUAGUCUGAGAAAGCAUUUCCUUGACUACUCUAGGAAAGGUAUCCAUGACAAUAGCUUUUGACAGGAGUCGCUAAAACAGUCUGCAGUUUCUGAAGGACACAUGGAGGAUGCUGAGCAAAGCCCUGUGACCAGGGUCAGCCAGCAAGGAGAAACAGCGGCAUUUGGCUCGCGGCAUCCCUCUCCUGGUGGGGAACAGAGGCUGUGCCGCAAUUCUAGACACACUUCUUCUGGAACAGGGAGGGAAUGCCCAGGGGCUGGAAAACAUUACCUGUGUCAUCUCCUGGGAGACCUCUUGGUGGCUUUGUAUCCCUUUGGCUUCCCUUUUACUAUGGAAACAUAUAUUUCCGAGGGUGAAAUUGCAUUGGAAGACUAUCAAUGGUUCUGUUGUGCUUCAAGAGACAAAGGAGAGAAAGGGCAAAUGGAAAGCAGUUACCAGCUCCACUAGGCGAUACCUUGAUAAAAAGAGGUACGAAUGGGAACGUAACUUGGAAAUCUAUUCAAAGUUUCUUGCACGCAUUUUAUUACACAAAGCUCAUCAAUGCCAGUAUGCCCGUUCCCAUCUCAUUAUUACAGAAAGAAACUCAGUCUCAGAUGAUUACUGUCAUGGACUUAAUGUUUGUGUUCCCCUCCUCCAAAUCCAUAUGCUGAAAUCCAACUUCCAAUGUGAUGUGUUAGGCAGUAGAGUCUAUGGGAAGUGAUUAGGUCUUGAGCAUGGAGCCUUCAUGGGUGGGAUUACUGAUCUUAUCGAAAGGACCUCAGAGAGCUCUCUUGUUCCUUUGCUAUAUGGACACAGUGAGGAGAUGGCCUUCUAUGAAACAGGAAGCAGACCCUCACCAGAUGCCAAAUCUGCCAGUGCCUUGAUAUGGGACUUCCCAACCUCCAGAAGGGUGGAAAAUAAAUGUUUGUUAAGGCACUCAGUCUAUGGUAUUUCUGUUAUAGCAGCCUGAAUUGACCAAAACAACUACUGGGGUAGCAUAUGAUAGAGUCCCUAAGAUCUAAUCUCAUGACUUAAAUCAUCCUAGCAUCAGAAGUUCUUAUCCCCACAGAUUAGAAAAUACUUUUUGAAGAUAUCCAUUCUCUUUUCUCUGGCAACUGAAUUUGCAUCUACCUGAAGUUUCCAGGAUUUCAGAUUCUACACACCCCUGAUCUGAGGAGAUACUGUUUGAAGCAGCAAGGUGCACAAACACAGGAAGGGAUGUGGGGGUGAGCCCCAUUAGAAUUUACCUCCCUUAAAAGCUAUCAGAGUAGAAGUCCUGCCAGAAAGAAUGACUCUUCUCUGGAGGUUAGCCCAUUAAUUAUCAUCAAGAGGCUGAGAUCCAUCUGUCCUUGGAAAUGAUCUUAUUGCACAAGUGGGACAACCUACAAUCUCAGUUGAGUAUGUGUGUUAUUUUUAAAUCACACAUAUUGGACAAAUGGCUCUUCACCUAAAAAGCCUGAUUUAGUGGCUCAAGAUGGUUUUCUGCCACUUCAGGGGACAUACCGUGUCAGCUUACUUCCUGCCAUUGAAGCUAGGAAUGAAGGAGGAAAUGCUAUUCCAGGCUACUCAGGGAGUGCUAGAAAACAGUACAUUUAGCUCUUGCUCUGCAUGAAAUGUGAUGGGCUCUGAGUCACGAAACACUUGCUGCUUGAAACAAACCUUUCCAAGGCAAGCCGUUGGGUUGAGUGUCAUGAACUCAUUGUAGAAGCAAAGUUGAUGAGGGAAGAAGUAUGAAGCCCAAGUGAAACAGAAGAAGGGACAGAUGGAGGAGGAGUAACAGAGCUGGGAAAGCAGAGAGGGAGCGUGGAGGACAGAGAAAAGGAAAAGAGAGGCAGAAAACAAAGGGGAGAAGAGAGGAAAUGUGGAGAGGGGGGAGAAAAGGAGAGACUAUAAUCAAGAGACACAAAAUAAAAACCAUCUAUCUUCCUGACGAGCAGCUCAUUGCAUAAUUUGAAUGAAGUGGGUCGAAAGUCUUAGAAGUACCAUAGUUAUUUUAAAUAUUUGGUACGAAUAGAUUAAAUUAGAGCUUUGUGAUUUUGAAGGAAAGGUACUGAUAAUAAAAGCUACAAUUGAGGCGCCUGGGUGGCUCAAGUUGGUUAAGUGUCCGGCUCUCGCUUUUGGCAGAGGUCAUGAUCUCACGCUUUUGUGAGUCUGAGCCCCACAUCUGUGAUGCCACCACAGAGCCUGCCUGGGAUUCUCUCUCUCUCCCUCUCUCUCUGCCCCUCCUCCGCUCACACUGUCUCUCUCUCAAACAAAAUAAAAUAACUUAGAAUUUUUAUAUAAAAAAAGAGCUAUCAUUUAUUAAGUGUCUCAUAUGUGCCAGGAAAGGGCAACGUUUUUACAUCUCUCAUCUCACUGGGAAGGCAGGAAAGUGAUGGUUUAAAGGAUGGGCUGAGUUUGAAACCCAACUCUACCAUUUACUGUCUGCGAGUUUCAGGACAAGUGUGUUUGACCUCCCUAGACCUAAGUGUUCCCAUCUGAAAAAUAUAAACUAGAAGAGAAAUACCGAACUCAGAGGGUUAUUGUGAGGAUUAUAUGACCCACCAUUAAAGUGUAGAGUGUGUGGCAUAGGCUCUGUGCUCAGCAAAUGGUAGUUACUAAUUUCACUAUUCUUAACAGCGGUUCCCACAGCAGCUCUACUUGUUCCGGUCUUAUUUCAAACUUGUUUUACAGACAAAAACAACUCAGGAUAAGUAGUUUCUCCAAGGUUACAGAAUUAGUAAGUGGCAGAGACAAAAUGUGAACCCUGGUCUGCCCAACUCCAAACUCUGACUCCUUGAACUCCCCUGGGGAGAGGGGCUGGUGUCGGCCUCAGCAUUGCUACCAGGGACUCGCCCAACUGCCCAGCCCCCCAACCCAGGGACUGUGCUAUUACUCUUGCUCCUACCCUAGUUCAAAGGGACACAGUCGGGGGGAGUCUGCAACUUGAGAGCAUCAAACCCAAGACUGCUCCCAUUUUACAGGUGCUGAGUGUGAAUCCUUAGGGUCUUUCCAUUCACUGGAGGAGCCUGGAAGAUCCCAGCCUUCAUUUUGAAAACUCCCUAGAGCUGGCCCACCUCUCAACCCAACCCAACUACCAUCCGCCGGCAUGGACUGAUAACUUCCCACCUUCUAACUUACUGAUCAACUGUGAAGAAGAGACAAACAGAGACACUAGGGGUGUGCAGAGACAAAAGACCUUGCAAGGACACAGCACAAAGGUGGUCAUCUGUGAGUCUAGGAGGGAGGCUUCAGAAGAAACCAGACCUCCUAACACCCUGAUUUUGCACUUCUGGCCUCCAGAAUUGUGAGCAAAUAAAUUUUGUGGUUUAAGUUGUCCAGUCUGUGGUAUUUUGUUAUGGCGGCCCUAGCAGAUCAGAUCACUGUGGCCCACAGUCCCCUCCUUUCCAGUGUCACAGCAUUACUACUGAACCAUCUAUAUGGUGAUUAAUUAGUGAUAGAUCUGUCUCCACAUCCAAAGCCUGUCAUCUCUGUUUUAUUAUUUAACUCGUAUGUAUUUUUGCCCUUUCUUGACAACUCCAGAAUAGGGCACCUCUAUUAAAAUUCUUUGAUUCCUCUGUAACUCCUACCAUAAUGUGAUCCACACAGGAAAAAAAGAACACUUAAAACUCAAGGUCAGGACUGUGCUGCAGCUGAAGAGACGAGUCAGAUCACUGGUGCAGGGCCAGAGCUCGCUUGUGAGGAAGGAAGUGGGGGAGUGGUUUUGACCCCAUCAUAGCCGAAAAGUCAUUUUAAAAGCAAUUUUGGAAAGGUAACUAUUCAGAUGAUUGUUGUUAAGGUUUUGGGGGAAAAAACCCCAGAUAUCCUUACAGUGAAUAGUGAAAGCAGUUAUUUAGUGGGUUGCUAAACAAGCUUUUAAAAAGAAUUUUAAAGUUUUUGCAUUUUUUAAUUUUGCUGAUUUUUCUCAAGUAUGUGUACUCUUUAUUGUAUUCCUUCAUUUGCAUUAAAUAAUGUUUAUAUCUCUCUACACAGUUUUGGGGAAAACACAGACAGUAACCUCAAUUAGGAAGAGACAUAAGUUAAUACAAUGUGUGCUACUCUCAGGAAGAAAAGAGAGACAAGAUCUAUUCAACUUUCUGUAUGGAAUUUCAGGAUAGAAAGCAAACCCAAGAGUGCACGUUACUUGGGGGCCAUCACUCCUAAGUAAAUCUGCCCUGGUUAGUACUUCUUACACUAGGCACACAGGCUUGUUUGCCUGUCAGCAAAACCAACCGUGAGCUUUUGGAACAUCACACACAUCCUGUGCACUGCCAUAGCCCCAGGCAAGGCAAUGCUGGGCUCUCCGCAGAUGCUCAACAAAUAUUUGUGGGAGGAUGGAAGGGAGAGAGGCAGGGAAAGAAGA